CACGUAGUUAGCCGUGGCUUAUUCAAGGGGUACCGUCUUCUGCUCUUCCCCCCUUAAAAGAAGUUUACAACCCGAAAGCCUUCUUCCUUCACGCGGCGUUGCUGGGUCAGACUUGCGUCCAUUGCCCAAUAUUCCCCACUGCUGCCUCCCGUAGGAGUCUGGGCCGUAUCUCAGUCCCAAUGUGGCCGGCCAACCUCUCAGUCCGGCUACUGAUCGUCGCCUUGGUGGGCCGUUACCUCACCAACUAGCUAAUCAGACGCGAGGCCAUCUUCCAGCGAUAAAUCUUUGACGUCGGAGUCAUGCGGCUCCAACGCAUCAUGCGGUAUUAGCAGUCGUUUCCAACUGUUGUCCCCCUCUGGAAGGCAGGUUCCUCACGCGUUACUCACCAGUCCGCCACUAAGCAUUCCCAUCCGUUGUCCGAAAACUCCUUCAGGGGUGCUCCGUUCGACUUGCAUGUGUUAAGCACGCCGCCAGCGUUCGUCCUGAGCCAGGAUCAAACUCUA
RNAcentral lists this ribosomal RNA (503 nucleotides) under uncultured Oscillibacter sp. RNAcentral describes it as "partial 16S ribosomal RNA". Lineage: Bacteria; Bacillati; Bacillota; Clostridia; Eubacteriales; Oscillospiraceae. The record is from RNAcentral.